UAUGCACAUUGUUAGAGCUUGGAGUUGAGGCCAUUAACUGGCUGGUGAACUCUCAAGUGUAGGUAGUGUGCUACAUGAGGGGCAAGUUUUUUCGCUAACACUCCAUUCUGACCCAGUGAGUGGAGUUUGAUAGUAAUCCUUGCUACAAGU
This 150-nucleotide small nucleolar RNA is filed under the name Marmota marmota marmota (Alpine marmot). The record is from RNAcentral. Lineage: Eukaryota; Metazoa; Chordata; Mammalia; Rodentia; Sciuridae.